AAAGGUAAUUCGAUGGUUUUAUACCCCAUCACAUGCAUUUCCGUCUAAGGAAAAUAGCUAUAAUUGACAAAGUAUGCAGGAAGAUACAAACUGUAUAUACGCCGUUCAGAGCUGAAGAGGAUGCGAAUUAAAGAUGCGUUUCAGCUAGAUUUCUCAUGCACGACAGGAAGUACUAAAUUUACAAAGAUCAGUACUUUCAGUACUUCUUUAUAUAGGUUUAUAUAGUAUUGACGCAUAUAAUAAAUAUGUAUACAAAGAGGAAUCAUUGCAUAUGAAUUACGGGGAGGUUUGAUGGCAGAAUAUCAUUAUACUUUCUUGAGUUUCUUCUGAAUCGAAUUAUCGAACUCUUUAAAAGGUCUUUCAAGAGGGCCGAAGGAGGGGCUGGGAGGCUUUUUCUCUCCAGUUAUAUUGUUAAAAAAAGCCUUGCCUAUGAUAUACAACGUGGACACAACGCUGACACACAGUCAACAUCAACCGAUUUAUUAACGUCAUGCAUGCAGUGUACGAUGAGACCCACCAAUUCAAUAGAAUUAAAAUAUUCUUUGCAGACCCUUUGCACUGGGUUACAAUUCAUCACUUGGUAGUUGGUACUUCCAUUUAGUUUCACGCGAGUAGUAGUUAAAUAUAUAUCAUUGAAUCCGUUCAUGACAUGGGUCAUGAAUCUUCCAGUUCUCUCUUCUACGUCAAGGUCACAAGAUGUAUUUAUUAUUUGAAAAUAUGUUGUCAAUAUAAUUUCAGGCCACAUAGGGUGCCUCUCCUUAAAAACGCAAGCGCUCUAGAUUUUGUCACUUUCGUUCGGUGUCUUCCACAUAUGAAAAUCAUGAAAGUUGAUUACAAAAUUUUGGUUCUCGCGUUUAUCGCUAUCUGUUUGUUUGUCGACACCGACGCGUGGUUUGGGGGACGCCGAAAAUCAAGUCGAACGGUCGUAGUUGGUGCAAAACAUAUGGGAAAAUCAUGGAAAAAUGUGGGCAAAAGCGGAAGCGAUAAAGGGAAAAACGUGGGUUCAUUUGUUAAGUCUGGAGGGGCAAACGCAACUGCAUGAUAACAUGAAAAAGCUUGGGAAACGGAAGAAGCGUUUAUCGUGUAGCGGAUAAAAACACGAGUUGCUGAAGAAAUCGAAAAACUGAACCUGCAUGUGAAUGGAAAUCCGGAAAAUAGAAUUAAAGAGUAAUCCUGCAAUAGCUAUAGAGAAGAUACAAAUCAUACAAUACGUUAUAGAGUACCAUGCCUAAAUGUUUUUCAUUUCCUGAUAUGACGCCAAAUCAACAUUUAGUUUUAGACUUGCAUAAAUAUGUUUUCGAUCACCCUAAAACCUAUUUUCCAAAGCUCAAUUAUAAAGCAUUGCUCAUGAUCUCAUGAUAUAGUUUAAUGAUUAAGUCUGAAGUCUCAGCUCGGAGGUCAUUUUCGUAUGUUUUUUCAUGCCUCCUCUUUAAUUUUUACUCCUGCAUAGAAACCAAUAAUUGCAUGGACCGUAUGCAUGCAGCAAGUCGCUAACGCACCUGUGAAAAGCUAAAAAAAUAUUCAAAUGGCACGUACUUGUUCUAUCUUUACUGUAUUGAUACCAUCUACUUUGCCAAACAAAUCAGAAAGUGCUGUCAUUUGAUAUACCGCAUACAGUAAUUCAAUACACCAUAAACAAUUCUCCACGGCUAGUCGGCUAUCAUACUCACUCUAAUUUGUUCAAUCAUGGCUGAGACACAAAAUCAACAGUAUGUGCUUUCUGGUGAAAAUAUCGGUUCGCUUGGAUUAGAAAAUGAACUAGCGAGUUUAUCAGAAGUCACAACGCUUGUCGGACAGCAGCAAUUAAAGGAAGAAAAUGAACCAUGGUGGACUUGCAACAAAUAUCAGGUUCACGACGGAAACAUGAAAACUGUACUAACAAUAGAGGAAGAGAAUGCUCACCCGGCUAUUGUCAGAGCUAUAUGUUCAACUAAUCGUCCUUUUUUUAUGAGUGUGUUCGACAAAACAUCCAACAACAAAAUUUUGGAAUUUGAACGAUUGAUGAAAUGUUGUAGCCCAAUCUUUUUUCCUCGUUCACGUGCUACCAUUGUUGUGAGAGACAGAAGAGCGCAGAUCUUGGGUUUUGUCAAACAUGCUGCGCGUGAAACCUGCUUGUCGUGGUUUGGUCCUUCUGUUUAUUAUGAGAUUGCAGACGAAGUAGGCAAUGUGGAGUUUAUUGUUAAUGGUCCUGGGGGCUGCGUGUUCGAGUGUACAAGGCCCGAUGUCUUUAGGAUUAUGAAUAAAAGCCUUUCAAAACAAGUUGGUGAAAUAUCUCAUGACUGGCGAGGUUGCUGCGGUGGUAGUCUAAGUCUUUUUUUGUCACCUGAGGUUGACAAUUUUACACUUAGGGUCGAUAAAGACCUACCGGUAAAAAGCAAAGCCCUUCUUUUUGGAGCAUUAAUUUUGGCGCAUUUCAAUUACAUGGAGGUUCUGUAAUUAUUCAAUGAAGACAAAAUGCGUGUAUGAGAUGAAUGCUGAUAGUAAUAUUGGCGGACAAUAGUGUACCAUUGCAUGCAUGGGAGACGCGCAUAUAUAUACUUGAACGGUUUGCGAUAAACCUUGUCGUUUGUUAAGAAGAAUUUUUUAUUCCUAAAGUAUACACACCAGAGUUCUACUUCGAUGUCUUCUUCUAUAAAAAAGUCUUAGACCUGUUCAAAAUUCCAAUUCUGAUCUAACAGUGUAAAGUUUGUAAAUCGGGCCUUUUUCUGACCCGAUUUUCCACUAUCAGGCGGAAUUCUGUGAUCGAACGAAUUUUUGAGACGUUUGACCAAAGGCGAAGCGGAUCACUUGAACGAUAAAAAUUGAGAGGAAGCCGAGCAAAAAAUCGUUCGAUCGAAAAACCCGCUCAGUUGAAAACCGCCUUGUCACAGUCUCGGAAAUACCUUUGUAAUCAACAUUGAAAUUCUAGUGCGCAAAAAAAUUUGAACGAUAUAGUGGCGCUCUUUAUUUCAACGAGUGUACGAUCGGAAAUAUGAAAUACGAAAUAGUCCCCACGUUUAUAUAUGACAGGUGUUUCAUUUGCAUCUUGUCUCAUACAUACAAACAGUGGACUGGGACAAGCCAAAACAAAUGAAUACAUAUAUUAUUUUGGCCGUCAGCAGAUGUUAUACUACUCUCUGCUUCGAAGAAAGGAUCAAACAUAACCUUUUUAAAGCUGAACUAGUAUUUCUGAACAGGUUUACAAGGAAGCCUUAUACUACCAAAUUCAGACGUUAAUAAAGAG
RNAcentral lists this unclassified non-coding RNA (3223 nucleotides) under Dendronephthya gigantea. Its description in RNAcentral is "bTB/POZ domain-containing protein KCTD7-like, transcript variant X4". Lineage: Eukaryota; Metazoa; Cnidaria; Anthozoa; Malacalcyonacea; Nephtheidae. The record is from RNAcentral.